GAUGAAGAACGUAGCGAAUUGCGAUAAGUAAUGUGAAUUGCAGAAUUCAGUGAAUCAUCGAAUCUUUGAACGCACCUUGCGCCCUUUGGCUAUUCUGAAGGGCAUGCCUGUUUGAGUAUCGUGAACACCUCAACUCUCAUGGUCUGCCAUGAUGAGCUUGGACUUUGGGGGUCUUGCUGGCCUACUGUCAGCUCCUCUCAAAUGAAUCAGCUUACCAGUGUUUGGUGGCACCACAGGUGUGAUAACUAUCUACGCUUGUGGUUUUCUGCCAGGUAACCUCCAGUGAUGGAGGUUCGCUGGAGCUCACAAAUGUCUCUCCUCAGCGAGGACAGCUUUUUGAACGUUUGAUCUCAAAUCAGGUAGGACUACCCGCUGAACUUAAGCAUAUCAAUAAGCGGAGGA
Molecule: unclassified non-coding RNA, 402 nt
Filed under: soil metagenome
Description: partial contains 5.8S ribosomal RNA, internal transcribed spacer 2, and large subunit ribosomal RNA
Rfam family: 5.8S ribosomal RNA (bases 1-121)
Source: RNAcentral